This 272-nucleotide long non-coding RNA is filed under the name Phoenix dactylifera (date palm). RNAcentral describes it as "long non-coding RNA (PDAC_LNC010333)". Lineage: Eukaryota; Viridiplantae; Streptophyta; Magnoliopsida; Arecales; Arecaceae. The record is from RNAcentral.
GGGGUGAUGGGGUGCUUGGGAGCGGGUGGCGACACGGGACGUCGGAACAGGGGUUCUCCCGUCAGCCCGUGAACCGCGCGGCUGAAACCAGGGACGGUGGGCUUCCGUGGGGGCGCGGCGACGGUUGGAGGAAACGCCAAAGGGGUUUUCCCCUUUCUUUGGUGAAAUUGGGAGGGAGGAACCCUUUUUUUUUCUGGUGAAAACCGAGGGAGAGAGGGGCCUGGUUAAAUCGAGAGAGCGAGGGGAGAAAGUAACUGGAUCAUGACUUUGGC